AGUGAACGCUGGCGGUAGGCCUAACACAUGCAAGUCGAACGGCAGCACAGUAAGAGCUUGCUCUUACGGGUGGCGAGUGGCGGACGGGUGACGAAUACAUCGGCAUCUACUUUUUCGUGGGGGAUAACGUAGGGAAACUUACGCUAAUACCGCAUACGACCUACGGGUGAAAGCAGGGGAUCUUCAGACCUUGCGUGAUUGAAUGAGCCGAUGUCGGAUUAGCUAGUUGGCGGGGUAAAGGCCCACCAAGGCGACGAUCCGUAGCUGACCUGAGAGGAUGAUCAGCCACACUGGAACUGAGACACGGUCCAGACUCCUACGGGAGGCAGCAGUGGGGAAUAUUGGACAAUGGGCGCAAGCCUGAUGCAGCAAUACCGCGUGAGUGAAGAAGGCCUUCGGAUUGUAAAGCCCUGUUGUUAGGAAAGAAAAGCAGUGGGAUAAUCCACCGCCGUCCUGACGGUACCCAAAGAGUAAGCACCGGCUAACUUCGUG
RNAcentral lists this ribosomal RNA (492 nucleotides) under uncultured bacterium. RNAcentral describes it as "partial 16S ribosomal RNA". It matches the Rfam family "Bacterial small subunit ribosomal RNA", at positions 29 to 507 of the family's 1533-position model. The record is from RNAcentral.